GGGGGAUAUUGCACAAUGGGCGAAAGCCUGAUGCAGCGACGCCGCGUGAGGGAAGACGGUCUUCGGAUUGUAAACCUCUGUCUUUGGGGAAGAAAAUGACGGUACCCAAAGAGGAAGCUCCGGCUAACUACGUGCCAGCAGCCGCGGUAAUACGUAGGGAGCAAGCGUUGUCCGGAAUUACUGGGUGUAAAGGGAGCGUAGGCGGGAAGACAAGUUGGAAGUGAAAUCCAUGGGCUCAACCCAUGAACUGCUUUCAAAACUGUUUUUCUUGAGUAGUGCAGAGGUAGGCGGAAUUCCCGGUGUAGCGGUGGAAUGCGUAGAUAUCGGGAGGAACACCAGUGGCGAAGGCGGCCUACUGGGCACCAACUGACGCUGAGGCUCGAAAGUGUGGGUAGCAAACAGGAUUAGAUACCCUGGUAGUCCACACCGUAAACGAUGAUUACUAGGUGUUGGAGGAUUGACCCCUUCAGUGCCGCAGUUAACACAAUAAGUAAUCCACCUGGGGAGUACGACCGCAAGGUUGAAACUCAAAGGAAUUGACGGGGGCCCGCACAAGCAGUGGAGUAUGUGGUUUAAUUCGACGCAACGCGAAGAACCUUACCAAGUCUUGACAUCCUGCGACGGAUAUAGAAAUAUGUCUUUCCUUCGGGACGCAGAGACAGGUGGUGCAUGGUUGUCGUCAGCUCGUGUCGUGAGAUGUUGGGUUAAGUCCCGCAACGAGCGCAACCCUUAUGGUCAGUUACUACGCAAGAGGACUCUGGCCAGACUGCCGUUGACAAAACGGAGGAAGGUGGGGAUGACGUCAAAUCAUCAUGCCCUUUAUGACUUGGGCUACACACGUACUACAAUGGCGUUAAACAAAGAGAAGCAAGACCGCGAGGUGGAGCAAAACUCAGAAACAACGUCCCAGUUCGGACUGCAGGCUGCAACUCGCCUGCACGAAGUCGGAAUUGCUAGUAAUCGUGGAUCAGCAUGCCACGGUGAAUACGUUCCCG
RNAcentral lists this ribosomal RNA (995 nucleotides) under uncultured bacterium. RNAcentral's name for it is "bacterial SSU rRNA". It matches the Rfam family "Bacterial small subunit ribosomal RNA", at positions 356 to 1376 of the family's 1533-position model. The record is from RNAcentral.